CCUACGGGAGGCAGCAGUGAGGAAUAUUGGUCAAUGGGCGUAAGCCUGAACCAGCCAAGUCGCGUGAGGGAUGAAGGUUCUAUGGAUCGUAAACCUCUUUUAUAAGGGAAUUAAGUGCGGGACGUGUCCCGUUUUGUAUGUACCUUAUGAAUCAGGAUCGGCGAACGCCGUGCCAGCAGCCGCGGUAAUACGGAGGAUCCGAGCGUUAUCCGGAUUUAUUGGGUUUAAAGGGUGUGUAGGCGGCCUUUUAAGUCAGCGGGGAAAGUCUGUGGCUCAACCAUAGAAUUGCCGUUGAAACUGGGAGGCUUGAGUGUGUUUGAGGCAGGCGGAAUGCGUGGUGUAGCGGUGAAAUGCUUAGAUAUCACGCAGAACCCCGAUUGCGAAGGCAGCCUGCCAAGCCAUGACUGACGCUGAUGCACGAAAGCGUGGGGAUCAAACAGGAUUAGAUACCCUUGUAGUC
RNAcentral lists this ribosomal RNA (460 nucleotides) under uncultured bacterium. RNAcentral's name for it is "partial 16S ribosomal RNA". It matches the Rfam family "Bacterial small subunit ribosomal RNA", at positions 338 to 795 of the family's 1533-position model. The record is from RNAcentral.